UAGGGAAUCUUCGGCAAUGGGGGGAACCCUGACCGAGCAACGCCGCGUGAGUGAAGAAGGUUUUCGGAUCGUAAAGCUCUGUUGUUAAGGAAGAACGAGUGUGAGAAUGGAAAGUUCAUGCUGUGACGGUACUUAACCAGAAAGGGACGGCUAACUACGUGCCAGCAGCCGCGGUAAUACGUAGGUCCCGAGCGUUGUCCGGAUUUAUUGGGCGUAAAGCGAGCGCAGGCGGUUAGAAAAGUCUGAAGUGAAAGGCAGUGGCUCAACCAUUGUAGGCUUUGGAAACUGUUUAACUUGAGUGCAGAAGGGGAGAGUGGAAUUCCAUGUGUAGCGGUGAAAUGCGUAGAUAUAUGGAGGAACACCGGUGGCGAAAGCGGCUCUCUGGUCUGUAACUGACGCUGAGGCGCGAAAGCGUGGGGAGCAAACAGG
This 429-nucleotide ribosomal RNA is filed under the name Verrucomicrobiota bacterium. RNAcentral describes it as "Verrucomicrobia bacterium partial 16S ribosomal RNA". It matches the Rfam family "Bacterial small subunit ribosomal RNA", at positions 355 to 776 of the family's 1533-position model. The record is from RNAcentral. Lineage: Bacteria; Pseudomonadati; Verrucomicrobiota.